RNAcentral lists this ribosomal RNA (253 nucleotides) under uncultured bacterium. RNAcentral's name for it is "partial 16S ribosomal RNA". It matches the Rfam family "Bacterial small subunit ribosomal RNA", at positions 524 to 776 of the family's 1533-position model. The record is from RNAcentral.
UACGUAGGUGGUAAGCGUUGUUCGGAAUAACUGGGCGUAAAGGAUGCGUAGGCGGUUAAACAAGUUAUAUGUUAAAUAUAUAGGCUUAACCUGUAGAAAGCAUAUAAAACUGUUUAACUAGAGUGCAGGAGAGGUAAGUGGAAUUCCUAGUGUAGCGGUGAAAUGCGUAGAGAUUAGGAAGAACACCAGUGGCGAAGGCGACUUACUGGACUGUAACUGACGCUGAGGCAUGAGAGCAUGGGGAGCAAACAGG